RNAcentral lists this ribosomal RNA (429 nucleotides) under Pseudomonadota bacterium. Its description in RNAcentral is "Proteobacteria bacterium partial 16S ribosomal RNA". It matches the Rfam family "Bacterial small subunit ribosomal RNA", at positions 355 to 776 of the family's 1533-position model. The record is from RNAcentral. Lineage: Bacteria; Pseudomonadati; Pseudomonadota.
UGGGGAAUAUUGGACAAUGGGCGAAAGCCUGAUCCAGCCAUGCCGCGUGUGUGAAGAAGGUCUUCGUAUUGUAAAGCACUUUAAGUUGGGAGGAAGGGCAGUAAGCGAAUACCUUGCUGUUUUGACGUUACCGACAGAAUAAGCACCGGCUAACUCUGUGCCAGCAGCCGCGGUAAUACAGAGGGUGCAAGCGUUAAUCGGAAUUACUGGGCGUAAAGCGCGCGUAGGUGGUUCGUUAAGUUGAAUGUGAAAGCCCCGGGCUCAACCUGGGAACUGCAACCAAAACUGGCGAGCUAGAGUAGGGCAGAGGGUGGUGGAAUUUCCUGUGUAGCGGUGAAAUGCGUAGAUAUAGGAGGGAACACCAGUGGAGAAGGCGACCACCUGGGCUCAUACUGACACUGAGGUGCGAAAGCGUGGGGAGCAAACAGG